AUCACCUGGAGAUCUUGUUAAGAUGCAGAUUCUGGUUUGGUAAGUCUGGCACGGGGCCCAAGAGUCUACAUUUCUAAAAAGCUCCCAAGUGAUGCAAA
RNAcentral lists this microRNA precursor (98 nucleotides) under Canis lupus familiaris (dog). Its description in RNAcentral is "mir-544 microRNA precursor family". It matches the Rfam family "mir-544 microRNA precursor family". The record is from Rfam by way of RNAcentral. Lineage: Eukaryota; Metazoa; Chordata; Mammalia; Carnivora; Canidae. RNAcentral also lists the same sequence under 1 other name.